GGUUAAGUGAAUAAGGGCGCACGGUGGAUGCCUUGGCACUAGGAGCCGAUGAAGGACGGGACUAACACCGAUAUGCUUCGGGGAGCUGUAAGUAAGCUUUGAUCCGGAGAUUUCCGAAUGGGGAAACCCAACAUCUUUUAUAGGAUGUUACUUUUCAGUGAAUACAUAGCUGAUUAGAGGUAGACGCAGAGAACUGAAACAUCUAAGUACCUGCAGGAAGAGAAAGAAAAAUCGAUUCCCUGAGUAGCGGCGAGCGAAACGGGAAAAGCCCAAACCAAGAGGCUUGCCUCUUGGGGUUGUAGGACUCCGAUAUGGUAGUCCAGUGAGAUAGUCGAAGGACCUGGAAAGGUCUGCUAGAAAGGGUAAAAGCCCCGUAGACAAAAUUUGACUGGCACCUAGGAGGAUCCUGAGUACGGCGGAACACGAGGAAUUCCGUCGGAAUCCGGGAGGACCAUCUCCCAAGGCUAAAUACUCCCUAGUGACCGAUAGUGAACCAGUACCGUGAGGGAAAGGUGAAAAGCACCCCGGAAGGGGAGUGAAAUAGAUCCUGAAACCGUGUGCCUACAACAAGUUAGAGCCCGUUAAUGGGUGAUAGCGUGCCUUUUGUAGAAUGAACCGGCGAGUUACGAUUACUUGCGAGGUUAAGUUGAAAAGACGGAGCCGCAGCGAA
RNAcentral lists this ribosomal RNA (670 nucleotides) under Escherichia coli. RNAcentral describes it as "partial 23S ribosomal RNA". It matches the Rfam family "Bacterial large subunit ribosomal RNA", at positions 1 to 675 of the family's 2925-position model. The record is from RNAcentral. Lineage: Bacteria; Pseudomonadati; Pseudomonadota; Gammaproteobacteria; Enterobacterales; Enterobacteriaceae.